Transfer RNA from Callipepla squamata (scaled quail), 86 nucleotides. It matches the Rfam family "tRNA". Rfam says of the family: Transfer RNA (tRNA) molecules are approximately 80 nucleotides in length. Their secondary structure includes four short double-helical elements and three loops (D, anti-codon, and T loops). NCBI's taxonomy places the organism in Eukaryota, Metazoa, Chordata, Aves, Galliformes, Odontophoridae. The record is from Rfam.
GCUGUGAUGGCCAAGGACUGAAGGAAGGUAGUGGACUCAAAAUCCAAUAAGGUUUCCCGGUGCAGGUUGAAAUCCUGCUCACAGUG